RNAcentral lists this long non-coding RNA (622 nucleotides) under Zostera marina. Its description in RNAcentral is "long non-coding RNA (ZMAR_LNC003984)". The record is from RNAcentral. Lineage: Eukaryota; Viridiplantae; Streptophyta; Magnoliopsida; Alismatales; Zosteraceae.
UUUAAUUAAUUGAAUGAUUACAUUGAUUUGAUAAUCAUCUUCCCCUAAUCUCCCUCUACUCCUUCAACUGAUUCUAGGCGACGGUUAAGUCGCAAAAUCCUAGAAUCUUCCCUUUUCCGGUUCAUAUUCCCGCAACUGGCUGUGGAAAUCAGUACCCAACUGGAGAUUUAACAUAUCUGACCACAACUAGCCUGGGGUCAUGGCUCCGUCACUGAUUACAUUGGGCGAUUUUCAACAUGCAUGGUAUCAAAGCACACAUAGAAAUUUAGAGAAGAAUCAGAGGUUGAAGAAGGUGCAAUUUAAACAAAGGAGAAUGUCUUUAAUGGUAACAAUGUAUGGCUUUAGCGAGCGCAAGUGUUGCAACAAUGGGAAUAAUUUUUUGCUCAUUAAUACACUCUUGUUCAGACAAAGUUUGUAUUUCUAUUACAAGUAGAAGGUUUUCAACCGCCCAGUGCGGUUCUUGGUCAGUAGUUGAACCGAGUUAAACCUAAUUAACUCUUUUAGCUUUCUAUUUAAUUAUGUUUUUCUUUAAACUUUUGUUAACUUUUUUUCUUCAAUAAUCCAAGUACCUUAACAAAAAAAAGAUCUAUUGCCGUUUGAGGAUCAUAAUAUAAAUUACCCA